RNAcentral lists this ribosomal RNA (253 nucleotides) under uncultured bacterium. Its description in RNAcentral is "partial 16S ribosomal RNA". It matches the Rfam family "Bacterial small subunit ribosomal RNA", at positions 524 to 776 of the family's 1533-position model. The record is from RNAcentral.
UACGAAGGGGGCUAGCGUUGUUCGGAAUCACUGGGCGUAAAGGGCGCGUAGGCGGCUUUAUAAGUUGGGGGUGAAAGCCUGUGGCUCAACCACAGAAUUGCCUUCGAUACUGUAGAGCUUGAGACCGGAAGAGGUAAGUGGAACUGCGAGUGUAGAGGUGAAAUUCGUAGAUAUUCGCAAGAACACCAGUGGCGAAGGCGGCUUACUGGUCCGGUUCUGACGCUGAGGCGCGAAAGCGUGGGGAGCGAUCCGG